UGAUUUUAACAAAUUUUAGGGUUUCUAAAAACAUUCUUUUUUUUGGGCUAUUUUUUUUACGGCUCGGACUCAGACGAGUCAGCUUGGACUGGAAUUAUUAACUCAGCCAGGUCGGAGGCUGAGUUCCCUGGUUGAGCCGAGUAAAAAGACAUCUGUUUCAAGUGAUAAAUGAAGGUUCUUGCAAACCUAAUGUUUUCACCUUCAAUAUCCGUAUUGAUGGCUCCAGUAAAGCAGUAAGCAUCAAGUAGCAAAGGAAUUGCAUACAGUAAGCAUCAAGUAGCAAAGGAAUUGCAUAAAGAUAUGAUCCAAAGAGGUAUCAUUCCUAAUAUGAUAACCUAUUCUGUAGUAAUAGAUAUGUUUUGCAAGGCAGGACAAAUGGAUGAGCAUAAGGAUUGCUCGAGGGAAUGAUUGCAAAAGGUUAUUCACUAGAUGCUAUGAUAUAGGGGGGGAGUUCUAAGUUCAUGCCAUUGAUCCAUCAAAUAGCAUGUAAAGGCAAUGUACUUGAUGAGCAAUUCAUAGUGACAAUCUUGGAUUGUCUUUUGUGUGAUGGUAGGUUUUCAAAGUGUACAGAAUCACUUUCAAAAUUAACUUGAGCCAAAGGAAAACCGAUAUCUCAUGCAAUUACUUAUUAAGGAAACUCCAGAAGUUGCAUCCCAAAUAGGAGGAGAAACUGUUCAAACAUGGCUGACAGGUGCUAUUUGUUAGCAUUAAUGAAUUGCUAUGGAUUGUUUGUGGGUAACCAAUUCCGUUGAAAGCUUCUAAUCUCCUCUUGGUCUAUAUUUAAGUUAUUAUGAUUUCAAAUCUAGUUUUUGUCGAUAUAAUUAAGAUUUCUUUGCCCUCUAUUUCUAUAAUUGUGUGCAUAAAUGGGGUCCACAAGAUGAAAACAUGCAAAACUAUGGUGUAUCAGCUUUUCAAAACUUCUUUGUUAUUUUGAUAAUUCUACUUUUCAAAGGAUUUUAAAGUAACCCAACAAGAAAUCUUAGAUGGGAGAUACAGUUGGAAACACAGUAGCAAAACUUUCAAGAUUGGCGAGCCUUACCCUUUUCAAGGGAUAUUAGUUUGCGGGGGAGUCCUUUGAAAUGUUUGUUGUAGGUUGCCUAGAAAAUAACCAUGGACCUAAUAUUGUCAAACAGGGAUGUCGGUGAGGACCUUUCUCCAUCGAAAAUCCUACUGUUUUUCUCAGCCAUAUGACCCAGAUGGUAGCCGCCACUGAUGCCCACAAAAGGAUGCUAGCUUUGGGCCAGGGAAAAGGGUGGAGGGAGCUGAAGAGGAGGACCUUCUUUCAAGGUUGGCAAGCCUUGCCCUUUUCAUGACAGGUCCGCAUUACCCGGGCCUCCCUUUGGAGACCACCAAAUCCAGGGCAGACCAAGCUGAACUUUGACGGUUGCUCCUUGGGCAACCCUGGCCCCUCAGGAAUUGAUGGCUUACUUAGGGACCAUGGGUUCAUAUACUCGCCUCCUUCUCCAAAAGCAUGAGACACUAGGACUCCCAUACAGCAGAGGCCCUCACUCUCCUUGAAGGCAUCAGAUUGUUUAGUCCCUUGUGGAGCCUUUAGUUAGUGGUAGGGGGGACUCCAAGAAUGUUAUAUGAUGGGGCCUCUUGCUCCUCUCCACGCCCUUGGUCACUUGCCCACAUUUUUUAUGAAAUUGCGCACAUUUGCUGGGAUAUGGAUGUCUCUUGGAAGCAUCUGGUGCGAGACUAACCAAGAAGCUGACACUCUCGCUAAGGAGGCUACUUCAACAGCGCAGUUUGACCCGAGCCUCUCUACUUGGCUCUUACACUGGGAGGAUUUUUCCUACCUAGAUUUGAUGCCCAUUUAGGGGUUGCCUUUUUACUUUCGUAUAUAGCUCCCAACCUGUGGGAAGUUUAUUUUUUUGUAGAGCUCCCAGCAUGUGGGAAGCCUAUUUUUUCAAUCAAUUGUACUUCUCUCUACUUAAUAGAAUAGAACUGUUAACACUUUCAAAAGAAAAAAAAUUCUAGCAUCUCUUGGUCAAUUGAUAGAGUCUUAAUGAUCCAACAUUAACAACGUGUAUAGUUCUUACUUCUUAGAUGCAGCUAAGUCUGGUGUACCAGGUGAUCUGAGCAUUACAUUCCUUCACCAUUUGUUGUAUAUCUCUAUGGCUACUUUUGAUGAGCAUACUCCUCAUAAUCUUCCUCAGUUACUGACUAACCCCUAGUUCUCUUACAAGAGAGCACAUGGCUGCAAGGGCUUUCUGUGACAAUUACAUUCUCUCACAGGCAAAUAGGGCAUUACAUUUUCUUGGCAUUGUAUUGGAGUUGUCACUACAUAUUACUUUUAAAAAGAAUACUCGAUAUUAAUUUCCAAACAUAAAAAGAUAAUACUCCCUAUUAUUUUCCCUCAGAUGCUUAUCUGGUCUCAUUUCUAUUGGAGAGUGUGUUUCCAAAUCCUUCCACUUUGAUGGCUGUGGCUGUAAACAGAAAACCCUUCCUCUAUGAUGGCUCAUAUUGAUUGAGUGCUGAAACUGGCAGUCCAAGGACCUCUUUUGCCAAUCUUGUGCGUACAAUAUCUAGCUCUUUCACCAUUGGCCUACUCGUAGUUGUUAAGAUUGGAACGGACUGGUGGCUUGACGGGUUGGACCAUCGAUUAGUGCCUUGGCCAGUUUUGCCAAAGUAAAAACCAUGUUUGGUAAAAACCUGUCAAAACUAGUGUUCGACCAACUUGAAAAUUUGGGUUCAACUAGCUCACAAAGUUGGGCAAAGUCUUUAUUUAUAUUCUAUAGUUGAAAAUCCAUAUUUAUUUUUAUAUAUUAGUAUCCAGUCAAACUUGUUCAACCAGCUUUAAGAAUGAUUUUAAUUGGACUAGUCCCCUCCUCGGUUUGGUCGCCAAUCUGAUCCUAAUAACACUGCUUCUACUUGUUAUCACAACAUUAGAAAUAUGUCAUAAUAAUUCGACAUUAUUUUGUGAAGAAUAUUUUUCAAUGCUCUAAUUUAAAAUAUUUUUUAAAUAAUUUUGUGAAAUGAUUUUCGAAUAAUUUUCUCCCCAAAUGUCUUUUAUGAAAUAAGAUUUUUAUGAGUAAAGUUAAUAGUUUUGUAAAUUUGGACUAGGUAAGUCUUUUAAAAGAAAAGGACUAGAUUUGCUAAAUGCCAUGGCAUAUACAGCUUGAGAUGCCCAUUUGUGUGCUCGGCCGGACAUAUAUGUGAUGCAUGCACAUCUAAUUGGUAUUUUGUGAUACAGAAGAGAACCUAAAAGAGAUGUGCCGAAAUCCGCCAAGAAAAAGAAAAAGGAAAAUAAAGAUGGCUAUGAAUUUGGUAGAAUAAAAGUUUGUUUGAAGACUCCAAAAAGAUACCAAAAGAAAGAACUACAAAUGAAGCUUGGGAGAAAUUUAUGUAGAGAAAAAGGAAAUUUCGAAAACCAAAGUGAGAUUUGGCUCAGUGCUUACGAGACUGAUAACAAAGCUUAUCUUUUCAUCACCUCUCAUUUAACCUGGGUUGGAUGCAGUCGAGUGCCGAAAAAUGGAGGAGUAGUGAAAUUUGUGUACCAAUGAGUUAAAGCAUUGCACAUAAAUGUCGUAACUCAUUAAAACAAAAUCAGUUACAACACCCAUGAAGAAAUGAAGCAAAGGAGCAGCACCAUUUUAUGCGGAAGAAAAGGCAGUGCCGCAUCGGCAUCCUCAAUUGGAUGCAGAUGUAAAUUUGGUGUCCAAGAUGGCUACAAAUGGGGAACACAGGAUAUUGUCAUUUGAAGGCUACAUUAUCAACAUGCCAUAGCAAAUAUGACAAUGGUUUGCACUUGUAUUAUAGCCAUCAAGUUGUUCCAUAGGAAAAAUUGGCAUGUGGAAUUCUUCAAAUUUUGAUGGAAAUGACUGAAUGCAGAUUACCAGAAAAAAAGAAUUUGUCAUCUUCCAGUUUGCAGAAAAUUGGUUUUAUGAGAUCACUCCAGAAAAUAGAGGAGAUAUAGCAAGAUAGGAGGCUUGAAAAUGGAUGGGGAAGAAUGGCAGGGCAUUAAAUCUUCCAACUUAAGCUUCAGGCCAUAGGUAUUGUAUCUAACCCAUUCAUUACAAUAAGUUCCAAAUGGGAUUCAGGUCGCAACUGAAUGCUUGAAGGUAAAAAUAUGAGAAAUGAGAGCUAAGAAAGCAAGUACAAACAUGGUUUGAUGACUUUCACAGGAUGUUCACAAGGAACAUAGGUACAUUAGAUGCAAA
Long non-coding RNA from Amborella trichopoda, 4163 nucleotides. RefSeq lists it as uncharacterized. Lineage: Eukaryota; Viridiplantae; Streptophyta; Magnoliopsida; Amborellales; Amborellaceae. The record is from RefSeq and is a predicted model, not a curated record.